UACGGAGGGUGCAAGCGUUAAUCGGAAUUACUGGGCGUAAAGCGUGCGCAGGCGGUUUGCUAAGUCUGUUGUGAAAUCCCCGAGCUCAACUUGGGAAUUGCAAUGGAUACUGGCAGGCUGGAGUAUGGUAGAGGAGGUGGAAUUCCCGGUGUAGCAGUGAAAUGCGUAGAGAUCGGGAGGAACACCAGUGGCGAAGGCGGCUACCUGGACCGAGCACUGACACUGAGUCACGAAAGCGUGGAGGAGCAAACAGG
This 254-nucleotide ribosomal RNA is filed under the name uncultured bacterium. Its description in RNAcentral is "partial 16S ribosomal RNA". It matches the Rfam family "Bacterial small subunit ribosomal RNA", at positions 524 to 776 of the family's 1533-position model. The record is from RNAcentral.